RNAcentral lists this ribosomal RNA (800 nucleotides) under Halomonas sp. S11(2012). RNAcentral describes it as "bacterial SSU rRNA". It matches the Rfam family "Bacterial small subunit ribosomal RNA", at positions 69 to 866 of the family's 1533-position model. The record is from RNAcentral. Lineage: Bacteria; Pseudomonadati; Pseudomonadota; Gammaproteobacteria; Oceanospirillales; Halomonadaceae.
GUAACAGAUCUAGCUUGCUACCUGCUGACGAGCGGCGGACGGGUGAGUAAUGCAUAGGAAUCUGCCCGGUAGUGGGGGAUAACCUGGGGAAACCCAGGCUAAUACCGCAUACGUCCUACGGGAGAAAGGGGGCUUCGGCUCCCGCUAUUGGAUGAGCCUAUGUCGGAUUAGCUAGUUGGUGAGGUAAUGGCUCACCAAGGCAACGAUCCGUAGCUGGUCUGAGAGGAUGAUCAGCCACAUCGGGACUGAGACACGGCCCGAACUCCUACGGGAGGCAGCAGUGGGGAAUAUUGGACAAUGGGGGCAACCCUGAUCCAGCCAUGCCGCGUGUGUGAAGAAGGCCCUCGGGUUGUAAAGCACUUUCAGCGAGGAAGAACGCCUAUCGGUUAAUACCCGGUAGGAAAGACAUCACUCGCAGAAGAAGCACCGGCUAACUCCGUGCCAGCAGCCGCGGUAAUACGGAGGGUGCAAGCGUUAAUCGGAAUUACUGGGCGUAAAGCGCGCGUAGGUGGCUUGAUAAGCCGGUUGUGAAAGCCCCGGGCUCAACCUGGGAACGGCAUCCGGAACUGUCAGGCUAGAGUGCAGGAGAGGAAGGUAGAAUUCCCGGUGUAGCGGUGAAAUGCGUAGAGAUCGGGAGGAAUACCAGUGGCGAAGGCGGCCUUCUGGACUGACACUGACACUGAGGUGCGAAAGCGUGUGUAGCAAACAGGAUUAGAUACCCUGGUAGUCCACGCCGUAAACGAUGUCGACCAGCCGUUGGGUGCCUAGAGCACUUUGUGGCGAAGUUAACGCGAUAAGUC